Molecule: transfer RNA, 71 nt
Filed under: Cordylochernes scorpioides
Lineage: Eukaryota; Metazoa; Arthropoda; Arachnida; Pseudoscorpiones; Chernetidae
Description: tRNA-Ser
Rfam family: tRNA
About the family: Transfer RNA (tRNA) molecules are approximately 80 nucleotides in length. Their secondary structure includes four short double-helical elements and three loops (D, anti-codon, and T loops).
Source: RNAcentral
GAAUCGGUGGUUCAGUGGUAGAAUGCUCGCCUGCUACGCGGGCGGCCAGGGUUCGAUUCCCGGCCGAUGCA